Homo sapiens (human) is the source of this 1573-nucleotide long non-coding RNA. RefSeq lists it as uncharacterized. NCBI's taxonomy places the organism in Eukaryota, Metazoa, Chordata, Mammalia, Primates, Hominidae. The transcript has 2 exons. The record is from RefSeq and is a predicted model, not a curated record.
ACGGGGCCUGAAAGGGGGCGGAGUCAACGGAAGACACGCCCCCGGGCCCCCAAACUCUCUCCAACACUUCUCAUUGGCUGUUUGCCUCCCUCGAACUAAUGGUUCUUCUCCUUGACCUCAAGAUGCACUCUUUUCUAGAGCCGGUUGCCCUUUCUCAGGUUGUCGGGUAAUCAGCCUCCCAUCAGCCACUGUCUUCUCUGCUCUGUGGACAUGCCUAGCUUUUUCUCACUCCUUAAUUUUUGCAUAUGUCAUGCUCUCUGCUUGAAACGUCCUGUUGUUCAUGAAGGUCCUGACAGACACACCUUAGGAAAGUGGCCCCACCGGUUUCCCCAGCCUGGAGUGCUGUUAUGAAAGCCACCAGGGAGGCGGAGCCAGCAGGUCCUCAGCUACCGGGGAGGGCAGGGAUCCCGCUUCCUGAGAAGGCUGCUGAAGACUCUGCUCCAAGCUAAACGAAUCACUGUCUCCCCAUGGUGACGCAGAAAUGCAGGACAGUCAGAGCGAAGACCGGGCCCUCCGCAUCUGGGAGUUGUGCUAAGUGAUGCUGCGCACCUUCGCAGGAUGCUUACGAAGCCAGAAGGGUAUCCCAGAGCCUGGGACUAGGGCUGUGAAAGAGCACAUUCCUCUUCUACCUCAGGCUCCCUAUAUUCUUAGCAAAACUUGUCAUCUUUUGCUCACGGAGGUAAAAUAGCACAGAGAUUAGGAGAAUGGACUCCCAAGCUAGAUUUCUUGAGGUUGAAUGCCAGCUCUACUGUAGGGUCUAGCCCUACGGGGCUUGGCGGGUGUUUUCCCCGUGUGCGGAGAUGAGAGAUUGUAACAAAUAAAGACACAAGCCAAAGAGAUAGAAGAAAAGACGCUGGGCCCUGGGAACCACUACCAUCAAGACGCGGAGACCGGUAGUGGCCCCGAACGGCUGGUUGCGCUGAUAUUUAUUGCAUACAAGACAAGGGGGCAGGGUAAGGAGGGUGAAUCUUCUAAGUGAUUGACAAGGUGCAGCAAGUCACGUGAUCACAGGACGGGAGGGCCCUUCCCUUUUAGGUAGCCGAAGUAGAGACAGAAGGCAGCAUACGUCAGCGUUUUCUUCUAUGCACUGAUAAGAAAGAUCAAAGACUUUAGACUUUCACUAUUUCAUCUACCGCUCUGUACUACGAACUUCAAAGAGGAACCAGGAGUACGGGAGGAACAUGAAAGUGGACAAGGAGCGUGAGCAUUGAAGCACAGCCCCACAGGGAGGGGUUUAGGCCUCCGGAUGACUGCGGGGAGGCCUGGAUAAUAUCCAGCCUUCCACAAGAAGCUGCUGGAGCAGAGUGUUCCCUGACUCCUCCAAGGAAAGGACACUCCUUUUCGCGAUCUGCUAAGUGAUGGGUGUCUUCCCAGGCACUAGCGUUACCGCUUGACCAAGGAGCCCUCAAGCGGCCCUUAUGCGAGCGUGACAGAAGGUUCACCUCUUGCCUUCUAGGUCACUUCUCACAAUGUCCCUUCAUCACCUGACCCUAUACCUGCCGGUUAUUCGUAGGUUAUAUUAGUAAUGCAACAAAAAGUAAUAUUAAAAGCUAAUGAUUAAUAAUGUCUAUAA